UAAGUUCAUCACUGAUUUUCAGACUCUGUAAUCAAACUACGUAUAAAUUGUACAAAGUUUUUUAGAAAUAUUAUACUCCUCGGGAUAACUUAAUCUUGUUACUGUUAAUGGAUCGUGGAAUAUCAGCUUCACUUGAAAAUUUUAUCGAAAGAUACCGAUGUCUUUCUUUUAAAGACAAAAAGCUACGUAUUUUCAUCCUAUGGAUUAUGGUGUUGGCCUUAACAAGCUUUACGUCGCAAUGGCUCAAUUCCGAAAAGAGCACGAUGCCAAGAUCAGCAAAUGUUGAAAGUUUGAUUCAGCUGGUACUUUAAGCAAUACAUCUGAUGAGCUGUUGAAGGCAUGUGGCAUAAAAGGAGGGCAAGUUAUACGAAUCAAAAAUGCAUUGGCAACGAUUAACAACUUGGACAAACUUCUACCAGUAAGAAAUGUUCUAUCCACCAUUGAACCAUCCACCCAGAAGAUUGCUUUAUCCACUAGUAAUUUCUUUGCCAUAAAUAACAAUGUCAGCAAUUCUUCAGCGUCAAUUGAAGAAGCUCAUUUGUCAACAGGCACACCGACACCUACAACAUCCAGUACACCUCGACAUACCAUAGCAUCUGAUAAGAGUGAUCAACCUUCACCAAACUUUGUACUUGUGGAAGGAAGGAAACUGAACAAGAACUGGAUAAAAGAUUUUAAACUUCCUAUUUCUUUUUCUUCAAUGGUGAAUGAAACACUGCAAGCAGGAAAACUUAAUGGAAAACUUAGGGAUGAGUUUACUAGGGACAUUUGUUCUUCUAUUAAAGCUCAUACAAUGUUUCCAUCCAGAGAAGAAAAACAAAGAUUGGCGUCCAUGACUGUAGAAAAAUAUACUUUUCUUGUCCCUUCACUUGGAGCUGGUACAGGAUCAUGGUUGAAAGCAAUCACUAAUCGAUUAAAAACAUGCGUAUAAAGAAGACAAAUUCAACAACAAGAUCUGUUUGUGUGUCUCAAACUACACAAAGAAAAGCAGCCAGAAACAAAGAUGUUUCUAAGAUGUUUUAUAUAUUUAAUUAUAUAUAUACAUUUAACUUUACAUGUUUCAUAUAUUGACUUGUUUACAGUAUGUUUUAUGUUUUGUAUAUAUAUAUAUGUGUGAAUACAUGCAUAUAAAUCA
Molecule: RNA transcript, 1135 nt
Organism: Xenia sp. Carnegie-2017
Lineage: Eukaryota; Metazoa; Cnidaria; Anthozoa; Malacalcyonacea; Xeniidae
Exons: 6
Source: RefSeq, a predicted model, not a curated record